RNAcentral lists this ribosomal RNA (381 nucleotides) under Burkholderia sp. CAS36. RNAcentral describes it as "bacterial SSU rRNA". It matches the Rfam family "Bacterial small subunit ribosomal RNA", at positions 969 to 1354 of the family's 1533-position model. The record is from RNAcentral. Lineage: Bacteria; Pseudomonadati; Pseudomonadota; Betaproteobacteria; Burkholderiales; Burkholderiaceae.
CCUUACCUACCCUUGACAUGUACGGAAUUCCGCUGAGAGGUGGAAGUGCCCGAAAGGGAGCCGUAACACAGGUGCUGCAUGGCUGUCGUCAGCUCGUGUCGUGAGAUGUUGGGUUAAGUCCCGCAACGAGCGCAACCCUUGUCCCUAGUUGCUACGCAAGAGCACUCCAGGGAGACUGCCGGUGACAAACCGGAGGAAGGUGGGGAUGACGUCAAGUCCUCAUGGCCCUUAUGGGUAGGGCUUCACACGUCAUACAAUGGUCGGAACAGAGGGUUGCCAAGCCGCGAGGUGGAGCCAAUCCCAGAAAACCGAUCGUAGUCCGGAUCGCAGUCUGCAACUCGACUGCGUGAAGCUGGAAUCGCUAGUAAUCGCGGAUCAGCA